This 85-nucleotide transfer RNA is filed under the name Escherichia coli. RNAcentral describes it as "tRNA-Tyr". It matches the Rfam family "tRNA". From Rfam's summary of the family: Transfer RNA (tRNA) molecules are approximately 80 nucleotides in length. Their secondary structure includes four short double-helical elements and three loops (D, anti-codon, and T loops). Further hydrogen bonds mediate the characteristic L-shaped molecular structure. tRNAs have two regions of fundamental functional importance: the anti-codon, which is responsible for specific mRNA codon recognition, and the 3' end, to which the tRNAs corresponding amino acid is attached (by aminoacyl-tRNA synthetases). tRNAs cope with the degeneracy of the genetic code in two manners: having more than one tRNA (with a specific anti-codon) for a particular amino acid; and 'wobble' base-pairing, i.e. permitting non-standard base-pairing at the 3rd anti-codon position. Lineage: Bacteria; Pseudomonadati; Pseudomonadota; Gammaproteobacteria; Enterobacterales; Enterobacteriaceae. The record is from RNAcentral. RNAcentral also lists the same sequence under 9 other names.
GGUGGGGUUCCCGAGCGGCCAAAGGGAGCAGACUGUAAAUCUGCCGUCAUCGACUUCGAAGGUUCGAAUCCUUCCCCCACUACCA